Molecule: ribosomal RNA, 511 nt
Filed under: Cyclodius ungulatus
Lineage: Eukaryota; Metazoa; Arthropoda; Malacostraca; Decapoda; Xanthidae
Description: partial 16S ribosomal RNA
Rfam family: Archaeal large subunit ribosomal RNA
Source: RNAcentral
UGAAGAUGUAAAUGGUCUGGCCUGCUCACUGAUAAAAUCAUUUAAGAGCCGCGGUAUAUUGACCGUGCAAAGGUAGCAUAAUCAUUAGGGGUUUAAUUGGAACCUGGAAUGAAGGGUCGGACAAAGGAGUGACUGUCUAUAAGGUUUAACUUGAAGUUUACUUUUAAGUGAAAAGGCUUAAAUAAGUCAAAGGGACGAUAAGACCCUAUAAAGCUUUAUAAAUAAUUUAAAUCUGACUAAUUUAAGUAUAAAUGUUAAAUUUGAUUAUUUUAUUUUGUUGGGGUGAUGUGAGUAUAAUUCUAGCUAACUGCUUAAAAAAAAAUUCUCUUAUAAGAGACUAGUCUAGGUAAAUGAUCCUUUUUAAAGAUUAAAAGACUAAGUUACUUUAGGGAUAACAGCGUUAUUUCUUUUGAGAGUUCAUAUUGAAAAAGAAGAUUGCGACCUCGAUGUUGAAUUAAAAUAUCUAUAUAGUGCAGCCGCUAUAAAAGAGGGUCUGUUCGACCUUUAAAUU